UACGUAGGUGGCAAGCGUUAUCCGGAAUUAUUGGGCGUAAAGCGCGCGUAGGCGGUUUUUUAAGUCUGAUGUGAAAGCCCACGGCUCAACCGUGGAGGGUCAUUGGAAACUGGAAAACUUGAGUGCAGAAGAGGAAAGUGGAAAUCCAUGUGUAGCGGUGAAAUGCGCAGAGAUAUGGAGGAACACCAGUGGCGAAGGCGACUUUCUGGUCUGUAAAUGCAGAUGAUGUGCGUAAGAGUGGGGAUAAAACAGG
Molecule: ribosomal RNA, 253 nt
Filed under: uncultured bacterium
Lineage: Bacteria
Description: partial 16S ribosomal RNA
Rfam family: Bacterial small subunit ribosomal RNA
Source: RNAcentral